CCGUGGCCUGGAUGUCGGUGCGCGUGCGCAUGCGCGAGUGCCUAGCUGUCCGCGCGGCCACCCCCGCAACCCCGGGCUGAGGUGCGGGGUCCUAGGGCCAGGCGCGGGUGGCCGCCACGGCCCCUUAGGCUGCGUGGGGAGGGGGCGGCCCCCCCUGUUGUCAUUGCUCCUGCAGCCUCAGCAGCCUCUUCGCUGGGAGUGCGCGACACCGCCCCCAAAUUGGGUGCCCGCUGUGUGCCAGGCCCAGUGCUGGGCACGGUCCCGUCUCUUAGCCCAUUCGGGCCUCCGCAGCCCCGCGAGGGUGAACAAAUACUUACUGAGCAUCUGCUACAGGAAAGGAAGUCCCUCAAAAAAGCCAACAAUGGAGAGGCUCACAGCCCCUUUCAGACAUACAGAAAUCUGAAACGGAAACUGAGGCAAGAGCGGCCUACACCGGAACCCAGGCCCUGGCCCCCUUGUGUAAACACCUUCUACACCACCAAGCCUCUUCCUAAAGCCCAAGCACCCUAUAAGGACUGCCAGGCAAUAAUGAAGGUUCUUUUACUGAAGGAUGCUAAGGAAGACGACUGUGGCCAGGAUCCGUAUAUCAGGGAAUUAGGAUUAUAUGGACUUGAAGCCACUUUGAUCCCUGUUUUAUCAUUUGAAUUUUUGUCUCUUCCCAGUUUCUCUGAGAAGCUUUCUCAUCCUGAAGAUUACGGGGGACUCAUUUUUACCAGCCCCAGAGCAGUGGAAGCAGCACAGUUAUGUUUGGAGAAAAACAAUAAAACUGAAGUCUGGGAAAGGUCUCUGAAAGAAAAAUGGAAUGCCAAGUCAGUGUAUGUGGUUGGAAAUGCUACUGCUUCUCUAGUGAGUAAAAUUGGCCUGGAUACAGAAGGAGAAACCUGUGGAAAUGCAGAAAAGCUUGCAGAAUAUAUUUGUUCCAGGGAGUCCUCAGCACUGCCUCUUCUAUUUCCCUGUGGAAACCUCAAAAGAGAAAUCCUGCCGAAAGCGCUCAAGGACAAAGGGAUUGCCAUGGAAAGCGUAACUGUGUAUCAGACAAUUCCACACCCAGGAAUCCAAGGGAACCUGAACAGCUACUAUUCACAGCAGGGGGUUCCAGCCAGCAUCACAUUUUUCAGUCCCUCUGGCCUCACAUACAGUCUCAAGCAUAUUCAGGAGUUAUCUGGUGACAAUAUCGAUCAAAUUAAGAAAUACCCUUGAACUGGCGCCAGAGGGACUGAGGAGAGGGUGCACGAUGUGACCCAGAACCCAAAGGCAGAAACUGCCACUCACUGCAGUCAGGAAGAGCAAAAGGCUUCACCUGCCUUCUCACAGGUGCAUCUCAUGUGGGGAGUAUGCACUGCUUUCCCAGUUUUCAAGAUGGAGCGUGGGACUCAGAGACAUCAGAUGGCCUGCCUGUAGGUCAUGCUGCUGAGAAGGAAGAGCUGCAGUUUGAACCUGGGAAGACUGAUUCCACAUUGUCAGCCAUGGUGAUGCCUUGCCAUGGUCUCAGGAGCUGCUGAGCAGUUGAUGGACUUUUGGGCAGUAACUGAUAUAAUUCCCACACCAGUCCAGUGGUGGGUAUCCAGAAAAAGAGGUCAGUGGUCCUCAUUACAGGUGAGGAUACUGAGGCCCAGAGAGGUUAAACAACUUGCCAAAGUCGUGUGUUGAGUCACUGGAAGGCCCAGGACUCACACGGGCCACUGAGGAAGAAAAACAGUAUCUGAAUCUUGUGGUUAGAAAGAUUGGAGAGAGAGGCCAGGCGCAGUGGCUCCCACCUGGAAUCCCAGCACUUUGGGAGGCCGAGGCAGGUGGAUCACCUGAGGUCAGGAGUUCCAGACCAGCCUGACCAAUAUGAUGAAAACCCUAUCUCUACUAAAAAUACAGAAAUUAGCUGGGUGUGGUGGCAUGCGCCUAUAAUCCCAGCUAUUUGGGAGGCUGAGACAGGAGAAUUGCUUGAACCCCGGAGACUGAAGUUGCAGUGAGCCGAGAUCGCGCCACUGCACUCCAGCCCGGGCAACAAGAGUGAAGCUCCAUCUCCACCACCCCCCGCCCCCUGCCCAAAAAAAAAAAAAGGAAGAUUAAAGAGAUAAGACCCAUAAAGUGCUUGGCAUGGCAACUGGUCCACAGUGAGCGCUUACUUCAUAUUGCAGGUCAGGAGGGGUAAAACGGUGCUGGUCCUGCUCUGGUUCUUGUCCCUGUGUGUCAUGCUGCCUCUCUCCUGGACCUGUAGAAGGAGUACCGCCUGGCCCACCCACCCACCCCCGCGUCACACAAUGCUGUGAGAUGCCUGGUGGUAUAAGCCUAACACAGUUUUCCCCAGGCUUCUUAGUGUUUGCCUAGAGGAAGAAAAUUAGAUUUAUACUCUAUCUUCUUUCAAAGCAAGCAUGUUUAAAAGCACAAAUGGAUACUCAGCAUCUGAACCAAGAACUCAGGCCUUUCUGAAUAGACUGCUGCCCGCAUUGUCCACACCCAUGGCAGCUGGGGCCUGAGUGCGUGUGCCUAUCCUGCAUCUGUCACGCCCGUUUCUGCAGCCCUCCAGACACUCUGAGAGCUCUCAGUAGCCCCCUCGCCUCUUCCUACAGUGAUUGAUUACCCUGCCUGCCAGUAGUUAACUGCCAUUAAAUCUGCCAUUGCUGGGGAGGAGAAGGUGACAGAGCUGGCCUUGCUCACAGUGACUCUGGACUGCUUGGGGGCCAUGAAGGCACCAUGUGUGGGGUGUGAGUCGUCCCUCAUCACUGGGACUUGGUGCUGUAUAGUGAGGUGCUUUCAAGGUUCACAGAGGACACAGUCCUAGCCCGUGAGUUGGUAGUUAGGCUUUUCUGUCUCAGCUCGGCCUCAGAUUUGCUAGUGGCCUCCCUCCUCAGGAGUCCCUGUAGGACCCACUGUUUGUACAGCACUGCACAACAUGCAGGUGCACCACAGAAGAUCAAAGCGGGUGAGGGGGCGACUUCUGACCUGAGCUUGCUACUUACCAUUGACUUGGAAAGACUGUGCACUUGUCUGUAAAUGCCACAGAGAUGUCACUCCAAACCAGUAGUUUGCAGCCAUCGGCCCCACUACAGCUCACGCGCUGGCCGCCCAGGGCCUGCCUGUAAGCUGCACUGCAGAGAGCCCCACGCCACAAGCCCUGGCCACUGGCAUCAGGAAGGCACUCCAGCCCCAUGGCUG
Molecule: RNA transcript, 3150 nt
Organism: Rhinopithecus roxellana (golden snub-nosed monkey)
Lineage: Eukaryota; Metazoa; Chordata; Mammalia; Primates; Cercopithecidae
Gene: UROS
Gene name: uroporphyrinogen III synthase
Exons: 12
Source: RefSeq, a predicted model, not a curated record